RNAcentral lists this ribosomal RNA (716 nucleotides) under uncultured organism. RNAcentral's name for it is "SSU rRNA". It matches the Rfam family "Bacterial small subunit ribosomal RNA", at positions 41 to 785 of the family's 1533-position model. The record is from RNAcentral.
GGCGUGCCUAACACAUGCAAGUCGAGCGAUUCUCUUCGGAGAAGAGCGGCGGACGGGUGAGUAACGCGUGGGUAACCUGCCCUGUACACACGGAUAACAUACCGAAAGGUAUGCUAAUACGGGAUAACAUAAGAAAUUCGCAUGUUUUUUUUAUCAAAGCUCCGGCGGUACAGGAUGGACCCGCGUCUGAUUAGCUAGUUGGUGAGGUAACGGCUCACCAAGGCAACGAUCAGUAGCCGACCUGAGAGGGUGAUCGGCCACAUUGGAACUGAGACACGGUCCAAACUCCUACGGGAGGCAGCAGUGGGGAAUAUUGCACAAUGGGCGAAAGCCUGAUGCAGCAACGCCGCGUGAGCGAUGAAGGCCUUCGGGUCGUAAAGCUCUGUCCUCAAGGAAGAUAAUGACGGUACUUGAGGAGGAAGCCCCGGCUAACUACGUGCCAGCAGCCGCGGUAAUACGUAGGGGGCUAGCGUUAUCCGGAUUUACUGGGCGUAAAGGGUGCGUAGGCGGUCUUUUAAGUCAGGAGUGAAAGGCUACGGCUCAACCGUAGUAAGCUCUUGAAACUGGAGGACUUGAGUGCAGGAGAGGAGAGUGGAAUUCCUAGUGUAGCGGUGAAAUGCGUAGAUAUUAGGAGGAACACCAGUAGCGAAGGCGGCUCUCUGGACUGUAACUGACGCUGAGGCACGAAAGCGUGGGGAGCAAACAGGAUUAGAUAC